CCUACGGGCGGCAGCAGUGAGGAAUAUUGGUCAAUGGACGCGAGUCUGAACCAGCCAAGCAGCGUGCAGGAUGACUGCCCUAUGGGUUGUACACUUCUUUUAUAUGGGAAUAAACCGUUCCACGUGUGUGUUUCUGUAUGUAUCAUAUGAAUAAGGAUCGGCUAACUCCGUGCCAGCAGCCGCGGUAAUACGGAGGAUUCGAGCGUUAUCCGGAUUUAUUGGGUUUAAAGGGUGCGUAGGAGGAAUGUUAAGUGAGUUGUGAAAGUUUGAGGCUCAACCUCAAAAUUGCAUUUGAAACUGGAAGGCUAGAGAAUAGUAGAGGUAGGCGGAAUGCAUGGUGUAGCGGUGAGAUGCUUAGAUAUCACAAAGAACACCGAUUGCGAAGGCAGUUCAC
This 394-nucleotide ribosomal RNA is filed under the name uncultured bacterium. Its description in RNAcentral is "partial 16S ribosomal RNA". It matches the Rfam family "Bacterial small subunit ribosomal RNA", at positions 338 to 729 of the family's 1533-position model. The record is from RNAcentral.